RNAcentral lists this ribosomal RNA (229 nucleotides) under uncultured bacterium. RNAcentral's name for it is "partial 16S ribosomal RNA". It matches the Rfam family "Bacterial small subunit ribosomal RNA", at positions 568 to 796 of the family's 1533-position model. The record is from RNAcentral.
UGCGCAGGCGGGCUUGUAAGUCAGUGGUGAAAUCCUACAGCUUAACUGUAGAACUGCCAUUGAUACUGUAGAUCUUGAGUACGGUUGAGGUGGGCGGAAUGUGUCAUGUAGCGGUGAAAUGCUUAGAUAUGACACAGAACACCAAUUGCGAAGGCAGCUCGCUAAACCGUAACUGACGCUGAGGCACGAAAGCGUGGGGAGCGAACAGGAUUAGAUACCCUGGUAGUCC